AGUGAACGCUGGCGGUAGGCCUAACACAUGCAAGUCGAACGGCAGCACAGUAAGAGCUUGCUCUUACGGGUGGCGAGUGGCGGACGGGUGAGGAAUACAUCGGAAUCUACUUUUUCGUGGGGGAUAACGUAGGGAAACUUACGCUAAUACCGCAUACGACCUACGGGUGAAAGCAGGGGAUCUUCGGACCUUGCGCGAUUGAAUGAGCCGAUGUCGGAUUAGCUAGUUGGCGGGGUAAAGGCCCACCAAGGCGACGAUCCGUAGCUGGUCUGAGAGGAUGAUCAGCCGCACUAGAACUGGGACGCGGUCCAGACUCCUAAGGGAAGCAGCAGUGGGGAAUAUUGGACAGUAGGCGCAAGCCUGAUCCAGCCAUACCGCGUGGGUGAAGAAGGCCUUCGGGUUGUGAAGCCCUUUUGUUGGGAAAGAAAAGCAGCAGGUUGAUACCCCGCUGUUCUGACGGUACCCAGAAAAUAAGCACCGGCUAACUUCGUG
Molecule: ribosomal RNA, 492 nt
Filed under: uncultured bacterium
Lineage: Bacteria
Description: partial 16S ribosomal RNA
Rfam family: Bacterial small subunit ribosomal RNA
Source: RNAcentral